UACGGAGGGAGCUAGCGUUGUUCGGAAUUACUGGGCGUAAAGCGCGCGUAGGCGGCUUUGUAAGUUAGAGGUGAAAGCCCGGAGCUCAACUCCGGAACUGCCUUUAAAACUGCAUCGCUUGAAUCCAGGAGAGGUGAGUGGAAUUCCGAGUGUAGAGGUGAAAUUCGUAGAUAUUCGGAAGAACACCAGUGGCGAAGGCGACUUACUGGACACAUAUUGACGCUGAGGUGCGAAAGCGUGGGGAGCAAACAGG
This 253-nucleotide ribosomal RNA is filed under the name uncultured bacterium. RNAcentral's name for it is "partial 16S ribosomal RNA". It matches the Rfam family "Bacterial small subunit ribosomal RNA", at positions 524 to 776 of the family's 1533-position model. The record is from RNAcentral.